AAUACGACUCUCAUAAUAACACCAAGCUUUUAUCAGAAUGAUGCUGCGUUUAAAGAGGUGAUUUCUGCCAACAAUCUGAUCAACCUGUUCAAGAUAACAGAGAGUAGAAAGCCCUCCUAACUGAUUAAAGGAUAUAUCUACCACAAUAUUUUGUACAAUGCAUUUUAUAAGCUUAACCUCAGCAUCAAUGCAAUGGACAUCCUUCACUUCAUAUGGAGCAUCCUUACUCCGCUCUUCUCGUCUCAGAACAGCAUGAACAUCAAUGACCAAUGCAUCCUCAACAGCUGGACUGCAAAUGGCAGUCAAAUCAAUAUCUCCAUCUGGAAGAUAUGUCUUCAGUGGGACUGACCCAUAUGGGAAAACCUCAUAUCCAAGGGAAGAUUUAAUGAGAGCCUGCACAUACUCUAUGACCUCCUUUCUCUUACAAUCGGCUUCAACAGUUGGACGAAUCCUAUUAACUAUCUUCCUUGCAGCUUCCUCCGCUCUCUCCCAGUUCUCCUCCGGAAUUUGAACCUCUCUUUUCAACACGACACCCACAUCACCCAUCACCAUGACAUUGAAAGGAACCGUAAAUUACAAUGAGAGAAUAAGGAAGCCGGCCGGUAGAUGAGACGAGGAAACGCGUCGUUAAAUGGAGAGAGAAAGAAGGUGGGUUCUUUGCAGCACGGACUAUUCGGUUGGGAUCAUCAUGUGAAUGAGAAAAACUUUGUUUCUUAUGUAGUUUCUUAUUGCUCUUUGCUUCUCAGAUUUUGUUGUUAUGCGAAGGAAAGCAAAGGAGGAGGAGGAGAAGGACAAUGAGAAAGGGGAACGAGAAGGGACAAGGGAGGGAAUGUUUUCCUUCCAAAAACCUCCCGAAAGACCCUUUCCUUCGUUCUUUCUUUCCCCUGUCUCUGACUUUUCUCUUGUUUUCUGUUUGUUUUUUUCCAAUGGCGAG
This 934-nucleotide unclassified non-coding RNA is filed under the name Hevea brasiliensis (rubber tree). Lineage: Eukaryota; Viridiplantae; Streptophyta; Magnoliopsida; Malpighiales; Euphorbiaceae. The record is from RNAcentral.